AACGAACGCUGGCGGCAGGCCUAACACAUGCAAGUCGAACGAGAAAGCACCUUCGGGUGUGAGUAGAGUGGCGCACGGGUGAGUAACGCGUGGGAAUCUACCCAGUAGUACGGAAUAACAGUUGGAAACGACUGCUAAAACCGUAUACGCCCUUCGGGGGAAAAAUUUAUUGCUAUUGGAUGAGCCCGCGUGACAUUAGCUAGUUGGUGGGGUAAUGGCCUACCAAGGCGACGAUGUCUAGCUGGUCUGAGAGGAUGAUCAGCCACACUGGAACUGAGACACGGUCCAGACUCCUACGGGAGGCAGCAGUGGGGAAUAUUGGACAAUGGGCGAAAGCCUGAUCCAGCCAUGCCGCGUGUGUGAUGAAGGCCUUAGGGUUGUAAAGCACUUUCGCUAGUGAAGAUAAUGACGGUAACUAGUAAAGAAGCCCCGGCUAACUUCG
Molecule: ribosomal RNA, 442 nt
Filed under: uncultured Alphaproteobacteria bacterium
Lineage: Bacteria; Pseudomonadati; Pseudomonadota; Alphaproteobacteria
Description: bacterial SSU rRNA
Rfam family: Bacterial small subunit ribosomal RNA
Source: RNAcentral